Rhipicephalus sanguineus (brown dog tick) is the source of this 487-nucleotide long non-coding RNA. RefSeq lists it as uncharacterized. The record is from RefSeq and is a predicted model, not a curated record. NCBI's taxonomy places the organism in Eukaryota, Metazoa, Arthropoda, Arachnida, Ixodida, Ixodidae. The transcript is spliced from 3 exons.
UGGGGUGGUACGUCCUCUGGACGGUAGGGUUCUUGUGCGAUUUGGCUGAUUGGCUCAGGUCGCUUUGGUUGUUCCGUCACGUCUUCUGGUCUGAAUGGUUCCUGGGAGAUCGGUCCUGCCGGUUUCACUGGUGUUGGUUCUUCAACAUCUUCAGGCCUGUAGGGUUCUUGCGCAAUUUGGCUGAAUGGCUCAGGUCGCUUUGGUUGUUCCGUCACGUCUCCUGGUCUAAAUGGUUCCUGGGCGAUCGGUCCUGCCGGUUUCGCUGGUGUUGGCUCUUCAACAUCUUCAGGCCUGUAGGGUUCUUGAGCGAUUUGGCUGAUCGGUUCAGGUCGCUUUGGUUGUUCCGUCACGUCUUCUGGUCUGAAUGGUUCCUGGGCGAUUGGUCCUGCCGGUUUCGCUGGUGUUGGCUCUUCAACAUCUUCAGGCCUGUAGGGUUCUUGUGCGAUUUGGCUGAUUGGCUCAGGUCGCUUUGGUUGUUCUGUCACGU